Molecule: long non-coding RNA, 904 nt
Organism: Heterocephalus glaber (naked mole-rat)
Lineage: Eukaryota; Metazoa; Chordata; Mammalia; Rodentia; Bathyergidae
Source: Ensembl
AUCAUGGAAAAGUUUGGGACUUUAUUUUGCAGAGAAAAUAGCACUAGUGGCUUUCCAUCUGGCUUUGACUUAAUGACUAAAUUGCUUUCACUUUUCCCUACAUUUUACAUCUCUGAUCACCUCAAGAUGUGAACACCUUAAUUUCCCUCGUCACAUCUGUCUGCUCACUGAUGUGCCUGUUUUCCCCUUUGUCAGCAGUCAGCUACCAGAUGAAGUUCAGAUAAAUGGCCUCCAGCUUACCUUGCAGUUGUUUUGCAACGGGUCUUCACGGAAGACUACUGCAGACCCCUGAUAGGAAGGGGCCUGACUGUCUACAGCUCAUUGAAUGCAUAUGGAUCCCAGCAGCUGGAAGGAUGCAUUUGCUACCUGAGGCCAGCAAUUGUGUCGCCAAGCGUGACUCCGCGUGCUGACCCUUGUAUAACACAUUACAGCCGAGGAGAUGUUGAUUGCUCCUUUCCAUCUUGUGAUGGAUGCUGGUGUUUAAAACUAAUGUUCUUGUGAACCACUGCAAGAGGAUAUGGAGGAGAGCUUUUCUGCAGAGAAGGAGGAGAAAAAGGUGGAGGAAUCCCUCACUUCAAGGAUCAAACUCCAGACCUUGCGCUUGCAGGGCAGGCGGCGGCACCAAUGAACUAAAUCCCUGGCCCCUCUUUUCUAUUAAUUUAUUCCUUAAGAAUCUAAAAAGAAACUUCUUAUGGAAGAAAAAUAUUGACCAUAAUACAUAAUCAGAAUGUCAGGGAAGAAUUCCAACCUUCACAUGAAAGUUCAGUAUUCUACCUUUGUCAACAUCAAGGCUUACCCCCAAAAUAAGCCCCAGUUAAGAUCCUCAGCCAGAGAGAUGCAUUUAGUAUGUCCAUCGCAACACACGAUGGAUGUACUGAAUUACAAUGAUGUUCCAGAAGAAGAC